This is a long non-coding RNA of Rosa chinensis, 244 nucleotides long. RefSeq lists it as uncharacterized. The record is from RefSeq and is a predicted model, not a curated record. NCBI's taxonomy places the organism in Eukaryota, Viridiplantae, Streptophyta, Magnoliopsida, Rosales, Rosaceae. The transcript has 3 exons.
UUUCCACUGCUGACGACGCCGAUUGAAUCGAACUACAGAGCCUGCACCAUCCCUUACCGCUUCCCCUCCGACAAUCCCCGCAAGCCCACCCCCACUGAGAUUGCUUGGAUCGACCUCUUCCUCAACUCCAUCCCUUCCUUCAAGAAGCGAGCUGAGAGUGAUGCUUCAGUCAAUGAUGCUCCUGCUAAAGCUGAAACGUUUGCUCAGAGGUACUCUGAAAUACUUGAGGACUUGAAGAAGGAAG